This 447-nucleotide ribosomal RNA is filed under the name uncultured bacterium. Its description in RNAcentral is "bacterial SSU rRNA". It matches the Rfam family "Bacterial small subunit ribosomal RNA", at positions 355 to 825 of the family's 1533-position model. The record is from RNAcentral.
UCGGGAAUUUUGGGCAAUGGGCGAAAGCCUGACCCAGCAACGCCGCGUGAAGGAUGAAGUAUUUCGGUAUGUAAACUUCGAAAGAAUAGGAAGAAUAAAUGACGGUACUAUUUAUAAGGUCCGGCUAACUACGUGCCAGCAGCCGCGGUAAUACGUAGGGACCAAGCGUUGUUCGGAUUUACUGGGCGUAAAGGGCGCGUAGGCGGCAAUUCAAGUCAUCUGUGAAAUCUCCGGGCUUAACUCGGAACGGUCAGAUGAUACUGCUUUGCUAGAGUGCAGAAGGGGCAAUCGGAAUUCUUGGUGUAGCGGUGAAAUGCGUAGAUAUCAAGAGGAACACCUGAGGUGAAGACGGGUUGCUGGGCUGAUACUGACGCUGAGGCGCGAAAGCUAGGGUAGCAAACGGGAUUAGAUACCCAAGUAGUCCCUGAGCGGGCUGGCAAGGCGCAU